GGGUUGGAGUCGGUUGUUAAUGCAGAAUAAGCAGUCUGGCUUUGCAGCAGCAGCAUCACCACAACCGCCACCACCGGCUCCCUGGAUUAAAGCCAGCAACGUACAGAAUUAGCUCAUUGUUCAAUGCACUCCAACUACGGGCACUAGGGUAGACAGUAAACCUGAUUUUUUUUUUUUUUGUAGCUUUUCAAAAAGCUGACUGUACUUCGUUUUGGAGUUCAGUGAUUAUUGUACAUUUGAAAAAGGAAAUGCUCCCUAGUAGGGAGCAGAAUGCAAAGCUGCAUGUAGAUCGAAAGAGGUGCGGGCAGAGAGAGGGCUUUGUCUUGCAAUUUUCUCCGCCUUGGGAACCGUGGAGAUCUGUCUGUGGUCCCGCCUCUGCCAGAAAAGCAUGCAGAUAAAGGCUUGGCAGAGUUUUGACAGGGUGUCGGCCAUCUCAUCUGGAGACUGCUGAAGAGCAGAUACAAGGAUGGAAGUGUUCUUUCGGGAAUACUUCCGACCAUCCACCAGGAAAAAAGAUGGCUUCAAGUUGAGGAACAGUAAAACUGAAGUCUUGCUCAUGACUCCUUCAAUGGAUGCAGAUUUAUAUUUUGCUGAAAGAAGAUGGAGUCCCUCAUCUUUCAAUCAUUUUUCUUCCAUGGGUUUUGAGGUGGCACGCUUACAAAUAUGGUUUUGUUCAUUUUU
Amblyraja radiata (thorny skate) is the source of this 681-nucleotide long non-coding RNA. RefSeq lists it as uncharacterized. NCBI's taxonomy places the organism in Eukaryota, Metazoa, Chordata, Chondrichthyes, Rajiformes, Rajidae. The transcript has 4 exons. The record is from RefSeq and is a predicted model, not a curated record.